Molecule: ribosomal RNA, 254 nt
Filed under: uncultured bacterium
Lineage: Bacteria
Description: partial 16S ribosomal RNA
Rfam family: Bacterial small subunit ribosomal RNA
Source: RNAcentral
UACAGAGGGUGCGAGCGUUGUCCGGAAUCACUGGGCGUAAAGGGCGCGUAGGCGGCUUGAUAAGCGUGCGGUGAAAGCCCGGGGCUCAACUCCGAGUCGGCCGUGCGAACUGGGCUCACUGGAGCAUAGUAGAGGCAGGUGGAAUUCCGGGUGUAGCGGUGGAAUGCGUAGAGAUCCGGAAGAACACCGGUGGCGAAGGCGGCCUGCUGGGCUAUGGCUGACACUGAGGCGCGACAGCGUGGGGAGCAAACAGG